GACAAGUCUGGCUUUGGAAAGAAUGAGCUCUUCAACUUCACAGAUCUAGGAAGCAUAAGGCAUCUAUCUGUCUAUGAAGGGGGCUGCACUCUCCCCUGGGGUCUGGUUGUCUCUCCUCUGGGAUGGACACUAUCUUUGUCAUGCUUGCAAUUUGAAUUUUUGGAUAUUGAAUACCAGCCCUUCUUGACCAGCAAAGAGCAUUUUCAGAAUAGAUUCCACAGGUCAGGAGGAGGUUAUGUUAACCAAGAAAAUGUCAUCUUCAGCUCCCUGCCAAGACUACAGCAUCUGUAAAGGCAGAAACCUACUUCAGUCUACAUUCACACUGCUGUCCUUGGCUUCAGAUGCUACUCUGGGGUUUCAGAAAGUGCUUGGGAUGCUCACUAUCUUCUCUUACUUAUUGUUGGAAACCGUAACAUUAGUACAAGUAAAAAGCAUUGAGGUGGUUGAGAUGGGAGCAAUGAUCAACUGGGCAUUGUCUGCUCUAGCUGUCUGCUUCUAGCUGUUGAACUCUGCCUACUAGACCAUUCUGCUGAAGACUUUCUACCAACCCUGCUUCAGAGGGUCUGUCUCUUAUCAAGAACUCUCAUUUACAAACCAACCAGCCUGUUGAGAUCCUAGCUAACUAGAUAGCAAAUUCACCAAAUUCCAUCCAGAAACACUUGAGCAUGAAUCCUUAUGGUUGAGUGGGAGACAAAGUAGAGCUCAGAGACUUGAAUUUUAAAUUCUUGGCUCUUCUAGAGACCUGGAUCCCUGGGCAAGUUUUUGCCUCAUUUGCCUUAUGUAUAUAAAUGAGAUUUUAUCUAUAAACUUAGAAUAUCUGCCUAAUGUAUUACUUUUGAGUACUUUGAGUAAAUUGGAAGUCACUAGCAAUGCAUGCUAAUAAGGGUUGCAAAAAAUGAAGAUUAGAUUAAAUAAAUGAAGAUUGGAUUAAAUAAAAGUGGCAUCCAUUUGUCCAAAUAACCAACAGCUUCAAGUUUCUGGCCCCAAGAGGUUUAGGCACGUAAUUCCAUCACCCUUCUUUAACCUGAAGGCCAUUGUUGAGUCAUGAUAGCUAUAUCUACAUUCCAGUCUUUAUCAAAUAUAUACUUAUGCGUAUUUGACAAACAUAUGUACAAUGCACACAUAUGCAUAAAUCAAUUUGACAUAUGCAUACAUCUAUGCAUUGGAUGUAGUAGUAUAUAUUUGGUCCUGGUCUAUGAUUGUGUCUACAUAUGGAAAUUCCGGUGUAGAAACUUCUGCCCUCUAUCAAUGCAGAUCAGAAUCUCAUCUCCAAAUUGGGCAAUUCUUCUGUAACUUAUAGAGUCACAGAAAACAAACAAAUGAAAAUUAAAUAAAGCACAAUUAAUUUAUUAGUUAUAGUGAUGUUUUAGUUAGAACUUUUAAAAAACUAAACAUUCAUAUUUUCAAAUAUUCCAUGAAAAUUCUGAUAAGGUGUUUUAGUUUGUUCUGGCUAUUUUUCUUAUUUAUGUAUCUCAUAUUGAAAAGUUCACUGAGUUACCCAUGAUCAUACAGUUACUACAUAUUCGAGAUAGGACUUGAACCCAGAUAAGUCUUCUAUCAACCAUGUCACUCCAUGAUACCUCUGAUUGUAGUAUAUAGUAUAGUAUAGUACAGUU
Molecule: non-coding RNA, 1616 nt
Organism: Phascolarctos cinereus (koala)
Lineage: Eukaryota; Metazoa; Chordata; Mammalia; Diprotodontia; Phascolarctidae
Source: RefSeq, a predicted model, not a curated record